GCCAUGGACCUGGACACCUUCACGUUCCUGUUAGACGCUGCGUUCCACUUCGUGUACGCCGUCACCUCGGCCAUCGAGUUCAUCAUUUACUUCAACAACGGUUUCGGAAGCACCGGCGACAUCUUCGGCCUGGUAUUCUGCGCCGUCGUUUUCUGCUUCCACGCACUCCAGCUGAGGUUCUUCCAGCAGCACAUCACCGUACAGCAGCUGAACGCUCCUCAGUGAACCAAGAUGGCGGCCAUGGAGGCAGACAUGCAGCAGCUGGACACCGUCUUCCACAUAUACUGCGCCGUCUGUGCCGUUAUCAAGAUCAUCGGCGUGGUGUUCGCCAGUGGCACGGACGACUACCGCGUCGCCAACUUCGUACGCUACAUCUUGCUGCUGGCGUUUCACGGCUUGAGACUUCGACAAAUGUGACGCGCAAUAUGAAGACCAAACGUGACGCAGAUUCCUGGUCCAAAUGUUCUUGAUCAGGAAAAACGGAUAAGCGUUGCCUCUGUCGAGGUUGCGGACAAGUCCAGCGGAAAUUGUGGGCCCCAAUGCCCCUCCAGCAUCGGCCAUGAGCCUGCUGCGAUGGGAGACUGUGUUCUUCCUGGGCGACGAGGUGUACCACAUGUCACGGGCCGCCUCCGACCUGGGCGUGCUGCUGGACGCCUGCUUCUACGGCAUCCCCAGCAUGGCCGCAAUGGUGCGCGUCAUGUCCUCGCUCUUCAUGUUCGUCUUCCACACGCUGUUCUUGGG
Rhipicephalus microplus (southern cattle tick) is the source of this 741-nucleotide long non-coding RNA. The record is from RefSeq and is a predicted model, not a curated record. Lineage: Eukaryota; Metazoa; Arthropoda; Arachnida; Ixodida; Ixodidae.